GAGUUUGAUCAUGGCUCAGGACGAACGCUGGCGGCGUGCCUAAUACAUGCAAGUCGAACGAACUCUGGUAUUGAUUGGUGCUUGCAUCAUGAUUUACAUUUGAGUGAGUGGCGAACUGGUGAGUAACACGUGGGAAACCUGCCCAGAAGCGGGGGAUAACACCUGGAAACAGAUGCUAAUACCGCAUAACAACUUGGACCGCAUGGUCCGAGCUUGAAAGAUGGCUUCGGCUAUCACUUUUGGAUGGUCCCGCGGCGUAUUAGCUAGAUGGUGGGGUAACGGCUCACCAUGGCAAUGAUACGUAGCCGACCUGAGAGGGUAAUCGGCCACAUUGGGACUGAGACACGGCCCAAACUCCUACGGGAGGCAGCAGUAGGGAAUCUUCCACAAUGGACGAAAGUCUGAUGGAGCAACGCCGCGUGAGUGAAGAAGGGUUUCGGCUCGUAAAACUCUGUUGUUAAAGAAGAACAUAUCUGAGAGUAACUGUUCAGGUAUCGACGGUAUUUAACCAGAAAGCCACGGCUAACUACGUGCCAGCAGCCGCGGUAAUACGUAGGUGGCAAGCGUUGUCCGGAUUUAUUGGGCGUAAAGCGAGCGCAGGCGGUUUUUUAAGUCUGAUGUGAAAGCCUUCGGCUCAACCGAAGAAGUGCAUCGGAAACUGGGAAACUUGAGUGCAGAAGAGGACAGUGGAACUCCAUGUGUAGCGGUGAAAUGCGUAGAUAUAUGGAAGAACACCAGUGGCGAAGGCGGCUGUCUGGUCUGUAACUGACGCUGAGGCUCGAAAGUAUGGGUAGCAAACAGGAUUAGAUACCCUGGUAGUCCAUACCGUAAACGAUGAAUGCUAAGUGUUGGAGGGUUUCCGCCCUUCAGUGCUGCAGCUAACGCAUUAAGCAUUCCGCCUGGGGAGUACGGCCGCAAGGCUGAAACUCAAAGGAAUUGACGGGGGCCCGCACAAGCGGUGGAGCAUGUGGUUUAAUUCGAAGCUACGCGAAGAACCUUACCAGGUCUUGACAUACUAUGCAAAUCUAAGAGAUUAGACGUUCCCUUCGGGGACAUGGAUACAGGUGGUGCAUGGUUGUCGUCAGCUCGUGUCGUGAGAUGUUGGGUUAAGUCCCGCAACGAGCGCAACCCUUAUUAUCAGUUGCCAGCAUUAAGUUGGGCACUCUGGUGAGACUGCCGGUGACAAACCGGAGGAAGGUGGGGAUGACGUCAAAUCAUCAUGCCCCUUAUGACCUGGGCUACACACGUGCUACAAUGGAUGGUACAACGAGUUGCGAACUCGCGAGAGUAAGCUAAUCUCUUAAAGCCAUUCUCAGUUCGGAUUGUAGGCUGCAACUCGCCUACAUGAAGUCGGAAUCGCUAGUAAUCGCGGAUCAGCAUGCCGCGGUGAAUACGUUCCCGGGCCUUGUACACACCGCCCGUCACACCAUGAGAGUUUGUAACACCCAAAGUCGGUGGGGUAACCUUUUAGGAACCAGCCGCCUAAGGUGGGACAGAUGAUUAGGGUGAAGUCGUAACAAGGUAACC
RNAcentral lists this ribosomal RNA (1527 nucleotides) under Lactiplantibacillus plantarum. RNAcentral describes it as "Lactobacillus plantarum partial 16S ribosomal RNA". It matches the Rfam family "Bacterial small subunit ribosomal RNA". The record is from RNAcentral. Lineage: Bacteria; Bacillati; Bacillota; Bacilli; Lactobacillales; Lactobacillaceae.